This is a small nucleolar RNA of Nothoprocta perdicaria, 78 nucleotides long. NCBI's taxonomy places the organism in Eukaryota, Metazoa, Chordata, Aves, Tinamiformes, Tinamidae. The record is from Ensembl.
UCUGGCCGUGAUGACGCUCUUGCCCUCACUGAGAACACUGUUCACUAAUGAGAGCUUUACGUGCAGAGCUGAGCCAGA